CCUCUGCCUCCCAAAGUGCUGAGAUUACAGGCAUGAGCCACUGCGCCCUGCCAUCCCAUGAAUAUUUCAGCUGGAGCAGACAACAGCUUCAAGGUAAUGCCAAACUGAUAUAAGUCCCCCUUUUCCUGUGAGAAAGCCCCUGGACCUCUCGGCUGCUAGCUGAAUAGCAUUACAAGGCUUCAUUUUAUUUCCUUUGAAAUAACACCACCCUGCAUUUUAUACAACUGAAAUUGUUUAGACCCCCCGAUAUCACAAGAGUCUAAAAUACAGAGUUUUACUAUAUCUCUCUUAAAAUGUUCUAAUGGUGAAUACCUAAGAAUAUCAAGAAAAUUAAGAAGAUGUUGUUCCUAAUUAUGUUAUAUGCUUGACUUGAUGUUGCUUUGUACCCAGUUGAUAUUCAGUGUACUCAACAAACAGUAUGGUACCAGCCCCGCCAAUCGGAACAGACGCCUGAACCAUAAGAACGACCCUGUCCCACCUGCUGAAUGAGUGAGUGCCAGGGAUUAAUGCAGCUGCUACUGACAAAUACUAGAAUACUGCACGGUGCAAAGGUAAGUGAUCAUUAAAGCACUGUACGGUCUUCGAACGUUUUCAUCAGCAGUUAAAUUAUGACCAGUGGGUUUCAGAGUUAAAUGCAGUUUAGUAUAAUUGGAUUCACAGAAUAUGGAUUAAAUGGGUAUGGUAUGUGUAAUGUGAUGCUAUUGACCAGAACAUUUCAUUGAACAGGAGAGCCUAUUUCCUGAUUAUGUUAGAAAACAGAUCACCUAUUCCAUAUAGAUCUGCAUGUAAGAGUAUUUAGGUUGUAAUGAGAUAACAGCACAAGCUACUGUCAUGUACCCACCCAGCACAAGCAUAGGUGGGUAUAUGACUUGUAAAGGUGCUGACACUAUAGAUUAGAAAGCUGGUUUUGAAUCUUGACAUUUUAUAAGUGCUAAAUAUUUGAGUUUUACUGAGGACUCUAAUAUUUUAUAUAUAUAUAUUUAUAUAUUUGUAUGUGUGUGACUCAUACAAUCAAUAGAUCAAAACAAUCAAUAGAUUGUUUUCUAUUCUCACAUUUCAUUGUUCUUAGUUUUCCUAGCAUCCAUUAAAAAAAUGAACGUCUUCAAAUCUAAGUUCUUUCUCACGUAUUCUCUGUGUCUUCUUUAAAAAUCCAAUUCUGUGAGUAUUUUUUGAACACCUACUAUGUGACAAGCCAUCGAACUUCCUGAAACUUAGAGACUAGAGGAGGAUUUACACAUUGACCAAAUAACUGCAUAAAUAUAUGCCUACAAAUUCCAUUUAAGUGGUAUAAAAUCAUAUGACAGGGAGACUCGACUUACAUGACUUUAUCCACUGAGACCUGGAUGGAGGAUGAAUGAGAAGAGAUGGGUGGGAGGGGAAGGGGAAAAGCAUUUUGGGCAUAGGGAACAGCAUGAGUGAGAAGCAAGGCAUGGAUGAGGAGGGAGGAGCUGGACGUGAUUAGGGAGGGAGGCAGAGGGUAGGCUUCUAGAGCACAAGAGGAAAUCAGAACCGGGCAGGGACCAGAUCGUACAGGGCCUACAAGGCUGUGCAAAGGAUUCUGAUCUUGUGUGAGCAUCCCUCAACUAUCCUUUUGUUGAGCAUUUUUUGUUUUUGUUUUUGUUUUCGUUUUUGAGAGAGGCCAAGGUGGGGAGGAAAAAAACCACAAAAAAAUCCCUCCAUCCAGCCCAGGAAGGUCAUUAACAGAAUGUGUCCAACAAUACAUAAUAUUUGCCGCAUUGUUACCAGUGCACUGGAAUUAUACCUAAAGAUUACGUUACCCUUCCAAUAUAGCUCUUUUAAAUAAAAUCUAGCAUUUAUUUCAAGCCACUAUGGCUUAGUUCACAUUACAUAAAAUUUCUUAAUAAUCACCAUCAUUAUUACAUCAGGCACAUCUAAAUAAUAUAAUUAAUAUAACAGCAAUUAUAUUAACUACAUUAUAGUUAUAUUAGACAAAGGUUUUCAAUCCACCUACAUAGCUGUGUGAACUGCAAAAACCUAGAAUUAUGGAAUAAACAUAAAAAAUGGCUUUCUCUGCUUCCAGUCUCUCCCCUGCAAAAUACAAUGUUGUAUUAUGUUAAGGCAAACACAAAAUAAACCACUACUUGUAGAGAUACUUCCUUUUUACAUGUUUAUACUACUCUUGCCUAUCCUCCUUUAAAAGAAAAAAAUACAUGGUAAGAUGUGCACAGAAAACAUUUUCUAUCCUUGUCAUUUUGUAUAUCCUAGCACUGACUGUAUCCUUAGAAAACUGUCAAUAACUGAGUUCUCAUAUCAAAUCUAACUGACUAUCAGAUGCAAUUCCUGGAGGAAGACAUUUAAUUAGGACAGGUAUUCCAAGUUUUACAGAAAAAAGGGAAAAAAAUAGUUUCUGCUUAUACUUGGAUAUCAUAUAGCAAUGUUGAAUUCUAGUAAAUUUCUGGGCCAACCUCUGUUUCUGCUUUAAUCACUUGACUUGGUUAAUGUGGAGAGCGCGGCAGUUUCUCAGCCUGUUGUUUAUAAAUUCACUAUGUUUAUUUUCCUAUGGAAAUGUCUUCGAGAAAGAUGGAGAAAUUGUAUGAACUCACAUGUGCACAUAAAAAUAAAGGAACCUCACUGUGUCACUACUCAUAAUUCAGUGGUAUCAAAAAGGGUUUAAGCAUUUUAAUCUAAAAAAAAAGCCGUCAUUAUGAAGAGCUUUAAAUAUAAGGCGUGGAUGACCAAGGAAGAGUUAUGGUGAGGCUGUACUGAAAGGCUUGCCUUUGCAGUUGGAAACCAAGCUUCCGAGGACGGAUGCUCCUGGAGGAAUGGAUCAAUCAAUGCGUGACUAAUGGUAGUUUGCAUAAGGAGAACUCAUAAAAUUCACGCCCGCAGCGGCUGUUUUGCAGCGGCUGUUUUUGGCGCAGCUUCACACACACAGCCUUUUACUUCAUUGUCACAGCCCAGGCUAACACCUAAGCCACUGUCUGAAGCUGCACUUGGCUGCACCCCUAAAGGGCUCUCAUGCCAUAAACAAAGUGGUCCCACCAGGUGGCCGCUGUUGGGUGACAGUCAAGAUGGCUAGUUAGUGGUUCAUUUAGCAACUGUUUUACCUUCCCAAAAUUAUGUUCCCCUAUUUUGCUUCUGCUAAUUUCACUCUGGUUUGGCAAAGUCAAUGUGCUAUCUAGAAACAGCACGAUGUUUUGAUGCCACCUCUUGAGCGUUUUAGUCAUGAUCCUUCCUCUCUCUGGGGCUUCCCUAUCUGACUCUGCAGGCUCUGCCCCAUUGAGCCUCAGGCCCGCCCUGCUGGCCUUUUGCCUGCACUAACUGGGCAGUGAGGCAGUGUGACUUUCAUGGACGUUGUUUGGUUUCAGUUUCCCAAACUAACUUCCCUUCUCAGUCCCUGAGAUGUCUGGUUAAGAGCUGUUAAUGGAUUUCCUCAUUCAUACUGUGCAUCUUUUGAGCCUGGCUGUGAUGACCCUUAGAAAUUCUUCUUGACUUCCUGAUGAGUCACUAAAACUAUGUCUGAGUUUCAAAAGUGGCUCUGACCAAAGUUUUCAAUCCACCCACACAGCUGUGUGAUCAGCAAAGACCCGGCAUUAUCAAAUAAACAUAAAAUAACUGCUCUCUCUGCUUCCAGUCUCUCCCCUGCAAUUCAGUCCCAGGCAGCUGCUCUUCCUGGAGUAUAUUCAUGACCAUUUUACCCUCUUCCUUAAGAACUUAAGAAUAAAGUUCAUUAUCUGCAACCUGGCAUUCAAGGCCAGCAACAAUUGGGCUCCAACUUGCUUUCUAAAUGCCCGACUUUACCCCUUCACAGACAAGCCCCCCAUGCCCAGUUGUGAGCCCCCACCCCCAGGCUGGGUUUUUUUAAGAUGUGUCUGAAUUGUACAUUCCAGGUGAAAUGCCAUGCGUUCCACGAAAUCCUUCUCCAUACUCCCUGCCAGAGGUCAUCGUUGCUUCAACUCCUGUAGUCCCUGGUCAGCAAGUGUCUUAGCCCCUUUCCUUUAUAGCUCCAGUAUUUGUGUGUGUGUCGUAUCUCCCAGAUGGCAGGCAACGUGAGGGCAGAAUCCUCAUCUUGGCCAUUUUUGGAUAAUCACCAUGCCCAUUCACAAGCAACUAAUAUGGUGCAUGUAGUAGGCAUUUCAUACAUAUAUGUGGAGUGAGAGAAUGCCAACUUGUAGCUACAACAGGCGGCUGCUCGGAGUCAAAAAAAGACUCCAUUGGUGUGUGUGUGGACCAUCCCAGCACUCUGCAUCUACCACCCAUGAUAACAGUGGGCAGGUCUCACUUGAUUGAUGUCAUUAAGCAUAAUAUGGGUAGGGAGAACAUAUAUGUGUUCUUCAAAUUUCAAUAACAGAGACUGGAGGAAUAUUUAUGAGAUUUUUACAUUCUUACAAUUUUACUUCUGUAGAAUAAGGUACUCAUGGUAUUUUGUGGAGUUUUAAAAAUAUGAAAAAGCACAGUAACUCCCUGUCUAUCCUUCCCAGGCUCACCUUAGCAAACAGACGUUGGUUGAGCCCCCAUUAAAUGACAGGAGCUGAGGAUACAAAGAAAAACCAGAUAUAGUUCUGCUGUAAGGAGGCAUAGUUUAGCAGUGGAGCCAGAAAUGUCUACAAUAAAAGUAGGUAAUAAGUGCUGUAUUGUCCUUAUGAACAGGGCACUGUGCUGCUACAGAGAAGGAAUUAAGUUUGCCCGAGUAAGGGAGAGUACUUUAUAGAGAGCCAAAUGUCAUGGAAAGAGCGCUGGAGUUAGAAAGACCUAUGUUCUAAUCUUGGCUCUGCUACAUUCUAGCUCUAUGACCUUGGGUGAACUAAUUAAAUUUUUGAAACUUGGUUCUGUAGCUGUAAAAUGAGGAUAUUAUCUUCUAGAGUCUGUGUAAAAAUGGAAAGGGAUGAUGCCUGUAAAGUGUUUCCUAUAGAAUUUGGCAUAUAUUAGCUACUCAAUAGAUUUUAAAAAGAAAAAAGUGGGAGCAUUUGCAUUAAGGGGUCCCUCCAGGUGUGGCUUUGAAGUGGAAAGACCAUGUGGCUUGAAUGUUGGUCGAGACGUAUUUGGGGGAAGACUACCCUGUCUACCCUUUUUCUUAGAGAACCUCCUCCCUCCACAGACUUGCUAAGGGGUCCGUGGACCCAAGACUCUGUCCCUACUUUUCCCUUCUCUAUGGUGUAACUGGUACAAUGAGGAAGUCUAAGUCUAUCUUUAGGGUGGUUAAUGUGAUAUUAUCCCCCUCUUCUUCUUUCAUUUAAUUAUUUACUAAACAUCUACUAUGAUCAGGCACUGCACUAGUGGCUGGAUACAGCCAUAACAAAACAGAUAUGGUCACUGCCAAAACUAGAGAGGGAAAUGGAUAUAAACAUAGAAAUUAAAAUAUAUCACUGCAACUUGUGCUAAGUGAGUGCUAUGAAGGAAGCAAUCAGAACACAGUGACAAUGAAUUACAGUGGUCAGGAAGUGGCCUGGCUAGAAAAGACAAAGUGAGCCAAUUAGACCCUCUGCCUUGAAGGUCGGAGCUAUUCAACACAAAGGGAGAGAAGCUGGAGGGCAGAUGAAGAGAGGCUGGACUUACAGCUGCCUCACUUUCUCGCAUUCCUGUUCCUUUAACUUUUCCUGAAGUCUCAUGAGACGCUGCCAGACCUUUAUAAUAAUAACCUCUCUCUCUCUUUUUUUUUUUUUUUAACUUGUGCUAAUUUGAGAGGGUUUCAUUUUCUAGAGCAAGUAUGGUAUGCCUGGAGACAACAUUAAUAGCCAGGGCUGGAAAUAAAAAUAAUAAAGCUAAAUAAUUAAUCCCGAUUGGCAAAGGUGAGAAAAGGAAGAUUUCAAAGAUAAGUCCCAUUAGAAUGUACAUGGCAGCUGGGAGAAGAGAGGCCUGAGACCUUUGCUCACACACUUCUUCCAACACUGACGUUGCCACCAUUAUUUACUUAUGUGACUUCUUGUUCUACUGAGUGACAGGGAGCAUAUCUUUAUAUCCACAGGGUCUAGAGCAACGGGUGGCAUUCAGUAGACUAUUCAUAAAUGUUUGUAGAAUGGAUGACUGACUGAAUGAGUAAAAGGAAGCAGGGAGUCCAGGAAGAUGGUUACUGACAUAUUCCAGUUUUACUUAUCCAUUUUUAAGUGCAUCUCUAAUUAAGAAUUAAGUAUUACACACUAUUAAAACGCUUAAUGGAUUCAAGCCCAAAAUGUAUGGAGUGCCUCCUGGGUGCCAGGCACAGCAUAUGGCUGGCUCAUUCCUUAAGAAGCCUGCAAUCUUGGAGGUGAGCUUAACCUUAUCCCCUAUGAUAAGGACAGCAAUCAAGCAGCCAGCAACCUCCUCCUCACACCAAUGGGAACUGGAGUUAUUUAUGGGUUUGCCGUUCCUGCAACUUUGAAAGGAGUUUUAUAAUCAGCUUUGGUCACAUUUCUCAAAUGCUGAGCCAUUCAGAGAUGCCUUAAAAACAGCUCAUCUGUGUACGCUUUGCUUCACUUGCUGGGCCACUAUCUACACAGUAAUGGAGGUAGUUUUCCUAUGAAUUUUCUUGGGGAAGAAAAUACUCUUUGCAAACCAGUACCUUUGCAUCAUGGAUAAUUCCAUAAUUUAAUUGCCUUUUCUAACAUCUACUUCCUGCCAGCAAAAAAUAUGCAUGAGGUGUUGUCAUGUUCUACUUGGCUGACUUUUGGGGAAUUAACACCAGGGGUACAAAUCAAAAUUAACUUUUUUUUUUUUUUUGGCAGGAAACCAGGAGGAGAAAGAAUAAUGCAGAUUUGAAGAUGGAAAAAAGAAACAGUUUUUAUAGAAUUAUGGGAAGUAAAAGUGGGGAGGAUCUUAGAGACGGUCUAGUUGUGGCUUCUCGAACUUUAAAAUACAUUCUGAUCACCUGGGGAUUUGAUUGGGAUGAAGAUUCUGAUUCAGAGGCUUGGGGUGGGUCCUGAAUUCUAGAUUUCUAAUCAGCUCCCAGUUGAUGUAAAUGCUGCUUGUCCAGGGAUGUGGUAGGCAGAAUAAUGGCCCCCUAGACAUCCAUGGCCUUAUCCUCCUGGAACAUGUGAACAUGUUAGGUUACAUGGCAAACUGAAUUUGCAGAUGGAAUUGAGGUUGCUAAUUAGCUGACCUUCAAAUGGGGAGAUCAUCCUGGAUUAUCUCAGUGGGUCCUUAUAAUUUGAGGGAGAUGGAAGACAGUCAGUGUGACAGUGAUGCAAUGAGAGAAAGGCUUGGCCAGCCUCUCCGGGUUUGAAGACGAAAGGGGGCCACGGACCAAGGAAUGCAGGCAGCUUCUAACAGCUAGAAAAGGCAAGGAAGAUUAUUCUUCCCAGGGUUCCAGAAAUGAUACCUUGAGUUCAGCCCAGUGAGACCCAUUCGGACUUCUGACCUCCAGAACUAGAAGAUAAUCAAUGUGUAUUGUUUUAAGCUGCUGAAGUUGUGGCAGUUUGUUACAGCAGCAACCGGAAAUGAAUGCAAUGGACCACACUUUGAGAAACAAAGGCCUACUCUUCUCUUCCUCCCUCCUUAUAAGAAGAUGUCUUUCCCUAACCCACCAACUAUCACCUCUUAAAAAAAUAUGCCUUCCAGAUGGCAACCCUCUCCACAAAGGUUUGGGGGGAUUGUAGCCAUUCACUCAUUCAAGCCACAUUUUGUGAGGGAAAGUGAAAUGAAUCUGACACAAUCUUUGCAUCCAACAAGCUGACAAAAGAGUAAGGAAAAUAAGGCAAAGUCAUCAAUAACUAGCACAUCAUUCUGGUAACAAUGUCCCCUCAGAAUCUUACCUGCUCUCUAUUCUUUCUUUCAUUAAUCUGGACAGGCUCCCCUGUCUUUCACCUGGACUCUGGAAAAGGCCUCCUAAUGGGAUUCUCUGGCUUAGUUUCUCCUCUCUCCAAUCCAUCUUAAAACAGUCAUUGCACAAUUAAUCUCCCCAAAGUGCAUGAGCAUGUUCACUGAUGGAGGGAAUGAGAUGGCAGUGAGAAAGAAUUAGAAGAGCAGAAGAGAGGAGAUAAAUUAUGAAAUGAGUUUCCACCAGAAAUAAGAGAAACAUCAUCAAAACCCAUGUGGAAUGGAAGGGAGGUUCUUCUGUUUUUCUAAGAAUUCAGAGAAAGGAGAAAAGGAGAAGAAGGGAGAGUGAAGACAUAAUAAAAAUUUCAGAUUGUGAAGGGGAAAAUUUAUGGAAACCAUUCCUCCGCAUAAGAGUUUUAGAAUUCACUUUGGGGCUUAAAAAGUGGAGAAAGGUUUAGAGCUGCCUUUACUGGAAUGAGAUAGGAAAUGAACUUGAUGAACGCGGACUGCUGAGCAGGCCUGUGAGUCCACGGUGCUGGACUGCACAGAUCUGUUACGGUGCCGAUCGGCAUGGCUUUCCCCAACAAUUCUCAACAAGCCAGAAGCAGGAGCAAAGGAACGAUCCAUGGUUACAAACUGUAAGAAAUGUAGUGGUAGAUUUUAGGGCUCUGAAACACAGGGGCUGCAUAUCACUAAGGUGGCUGAUGAAGGCAUCUGUGGUCUAUAAAGGGGGGGGAUGAAUUGGAAGACUAGAGAGAGGCUAAGGGAUGAGAAAGAACAGAUGUUAAAGACAGUUAGAAGAUGAGAAAGGUUGAUGAUAAGGACAUGCUCAGAGAAAGGAUGUUAGACAUUGCCAGUCUGUGGUCCCAGUCCUGCCUGCUGGUGUGUAAGUAUAACCCCUUUUCUGCAGUCCAGCCCUUUGCUUUUUAAAAAGAACUAAAGUGUUCUCCACAAUUCCAUCUUUAUAGAGUAAACAUGCUCUUUUGCAAUUUUU
This is a long non-coding RNA of Cercocebus atys (sooty mangabey), 8686 nucleotides long. RefSeq lists it as uncharacterized. The record is from RefSeq and is a predicted model, not a curated record. The transcript has 2 exons. Lineage: Eukaryota; Metazoa; Chordata; Mammalia; Primates; Cercopithecidae.